UAGGGAAUCUUCGGCAAUGGGGGCAACCCUGACCGAGCAACGCCGCGUGAGUGAAGAAGGUUUUCGGAUCGUAAAACUCUGUUGUUAGAGAAGAACGUUAAGUAGAGUGGAAAAUUACUUAAGUGACGGUAUCUAACCAGAAAGGGACGGCUAACUACGUGCCAGCAGCCGCGGUAAUACGUAGGUCCCAAGCGUUGUCCGGAUUUAUUGGGCGUAAAGCGAGCGCAGGUGGUUUCUUAAGUCUGAUGUAAAAGGCAGUGGCUCAACCAUUGUGUGCAUUGGAAACUGGGAGACUUGAGUGCAGGAGAGGAGAGUGGAAUUCCAUGUGUAGCGGUGAAAUGCGUAGAUAUAUGGAGGAACACCGGAGGCGAAAGCGGCUCUCUGGCCUGUAACUGACACUGAGGCUCGAAAGCGUGGGGAGCAAACAGGAUUAGAUACCCUGGUAGUCCACGCCGUAAACGAUGAGUGCUAGCUGUAGGGAGCUAUAAGUUCUCUGUAGCGCAGCUAACGCAUUAAGCACUCCGCCUGGGGAGUACGACCGCAAGGUUGAAACUCAAAGGAAUUGACGGGGGCCCGCACAAGCGGUGGAGCAUGUGGUUUAAUUCGAAGC
This 610-nucleotide ribosomal RNA is filed under the name uncultured Lactococcus sp. RNAcentral's name for it is "bacterial SSU rRNA". It matches the Rfam family "Bacterial small subunit ribosomal RNA", at positions 355 to 957 of the family's 1533-position model. The record is from RNAcentral. Lineage: Bacteria; Bacillati; Bacillota; Bacilli; Lactobacillales; Streptococcaceae.